Molecule: long non-coding RNA, 664 nt
Filed under: Olea europaea (common olive)
Lineage: Eukaryota; Viridiplantae; Streptophyta; Magnoliopsida; Lamiales; Oleaceae
Description: long non-coding RNA (OEUR_LNC001502)
Source: RNAcentral
UCCGAAUUACAAGAUUGCCUUGAAUGAUUUGCAUGUAAAUUACCUUUACCCUGCAACUUGUCGCAAUCUUUCUUGAUGUGUCCUUUCUUCUUGCAGUAAUAACAAUACACAUUGUUGUACCUCACCUUCGAUCUAUCCCUUCGUCGAUCACCAUGAGUAACAAGAGCAUCACCACCCCUAGAUGUAGGAUCUCCAACCAACAGCUCCAUCCUCUCCUUUGAGAACAGGGCUUCAUAUACCUCCUCAAUGGUAAGCGUGUCACGACUAUACAGAAUAGUAUCACGAAACGACGAAAAAGAACUAGGUAGCGAACACAAUAGGAUUAAGGCCAGAUCCUCUUCAUCAUAUUUUACCUCCAACGUCUUGGUUUCGUCCGAAUUACAAGAUUGCCUUGAAUGAUUUGCAUGUAAAUUACCUUUACCCUGCAACUUGUCGCAAUCUUUCUUGAAGUGUCAUUUCUUCUUGUAGUAAUAACAAUACACAUUGUUGUACCUCACCUUCGAUCUAUCCCUCCGUCGAUCACCAUGAGUAACAAGAGCAUCACCACCCCUAGAUGUAGGAUCUCCAACCAACAGCUCCAUCCUCUCCUUUGAGAACAGGGCUUCAUAUACCUCCUCAAUGGUAAGCGUGUCACGACUAUACAGAAUAGUAUCACGAAACGACG